This 290-nucleotide ribosomal RNA is filed under the name uncultured bacterium. Its description in RNAcentral is "partial 16S ribosomal RNA". It matches the Rfam family "Bacterial small subunit ribosomal RNA", at positions 65 to 353 of the family's 1533-position model. The record is from RNAcentral.
CGGGAAGAAAGCUUGCUUUCUUUGCCGGCGACCGGCGCACGGGUGAGUAACACGUAUCCAACCUACCCUUUACUCGGGGAUAGCCUUUCGAAAGAAAGAUUAAUACCCGAUAGCAUAAUGAUUCCGCAUGGUUUCAUUAUUAAAGGAUUCCGGUAAAGGAUGGGGAUGCGUUCCAUUAGGUUGUUGGUGGGGUAACGGCCCACCAAGCCUUCGAUGGAUAGGGGUUCUGAGAGGAAGGUCCCCCACAUUGGAACUGAGACACGGUCCAAACUCCUACGGGAGGCAGCAUG